GCCAGACUCCUACGGGAGGCAGCAGUGGGGGAUAUUGCACAAUGGGGGGAACCCUGAUGCAGCGACGCCGCGUGGGCGAUGGAGCGCCUCGGCGCGUAAAGCCCUAUCAGCAGGGAAGAAGAUGACGGUACCUGACUAAGAAGCCCCGGCUAAAUACGUGCCAGCAGCCGCGGUAAUACGUAUGGGGCAAGCGUUAUCCGGAUUCACUGGGUGUAAAGGGAGCGUAGACGGCGGCGCAAGUCUGGAGUGAAAGCCCGGGGCCCAACCCCGGGACUGCUCUGGAAACUGCGGCGCUGGAGUACGGGAGGGGCAGGCGGAAUUCCUGGUGUAGCGGUGAAAUGCGUAGAUAUCAGGAGGAACACCGGCGGCGAAGGCGGCCUGCUGGACCGUGACUGACGUUGAGGCUCGAGAGCGUGGGGAGCAAACAGGAUUAGAUACCCUCGUACCA
This 448-nucleotide ribosomal RNA is filed under the name uncultured bacterium. RNAcentral describes it as "bacterial SSU rRNA". It matches the Rfam family "Bacterial small subunit ribosomal RNA", at positions 330 to 797 of the family's 1533-position model. The record is from RNAcentral.